CGCUGGCGAAGGAGGUGGAAGGCAUGAAACAACAAUGUUACGCGGGUCGGGCAUUGCAGCAAACACAACCCAACCACAGGAACGAAUUGCCUCCCCUCUCAAGAGUAACGAAGCUCAUCUCUAAUCUCUCUUCCCGCCGCCGCAAGCUCAUAUGAUCUCCUCUGUCGAGUUCACGACGGCGAGGCAAAGGCAAGGCGUCUCACGCUGACGACGUUGACAAUCCUAUCCUUCCCCUUUGUUAGGUUUUCAGGUUUUCUUCCUUUAAGAUUCUGGAAAAGUUUUUGGAGAUGGAAGGUUUUCAUGCCUAGACAGUAGACAAUGAAGGAUACCAUUCCAGAAAUAAUUUGGUUACCGGAGAAGAUGAAGGAUACUAUUCCAGG
Vigna angularis (adzuki bean) is the source of this 380-nucleotide long non-coding RNA. RefSeq lists it as uncharacterized. The record is from RefSeq and is a predicted model, not a curated record. The transcript has 3 exons. NCBI's taxonomy places the organism in Eukaryota, Viridiplantae, Streptophyta, Magnoliopsida, Fabales, Fabaceae.